RNAcentral lists this ribosomal RNA (696 nucleotides) under Triticum aestivum (bread wheat). RNAcentral describes it as "partial small subunit ribosomal RNA". Lineage: Eukaryota; Viridiplantae; Streptophyta; Magnoliopsida; Poales; Poaceae. The record is from RNAcentral.
AUGGCGUCGGCAUCUCCGCCUCCCCCCACCGCCGGCGCGCGGCCCAAUCCCAGCAUACCCUCCUCCUCGUCCCCCUCCUUCUCCGCCGUCUCCCCCCGCGGCCCCAUCUCCCUCUGCGGCGCCUCGAGGGCUUCCUCCGUCUCCGUCCAGCAACGGCAGGCACCCCCUCUCGCCGGAAGGUCGCGCCUACCAGGCCUCAUCCGCUGCUCUGAUGCCUCCGGCGAGGGAAACCAAACUAAAAGAAAAGACUGGAUUAAGGUUGGCUCAUUUGGGGAGACACGACUGUUUGCUAAUGUACUCAAGAAGCAGAGGGCCUCACCAAAGUUGCUAGAACAAUUGAAGAGAUAUGGUGCUGCUGGAGUUUUGUCAUAUGGACUACUUAAUACUGUGUAUUAUGUUACCACCUUUUUAUUAGUUUGGUUCCAUUUUUCGCCUGCUCCUGGUAGGAUGGGCUAUGCUGCAGCAGUGGAGAGGUUCCUUAAAUUAAUGGCAAUGGUGUGGGCUGGCAGUCAGGUUACUAAAAUUCUUCGCGCAGGAGGAGCCCUUGCACUUGCUCCUCUUGUUGAUAGAGGACUGAGAUGGUUCACUGUGAAGUUCAACUUCCAGUCAGAAGGAAAGGCAUUUGCGACGAUCGUAGGGUUAUGCUUUGCACGUGCUGCGCUUAUGUUCGUUGGAUUGACAGUACUUUGGGCAUAG